GUUUGAUCCUGGCUCAGGAUGAACGCUGGCGGCGUGCCUAAUACAUGCAAGUCGAACGCACAGCGAAAGGUGCUUGCACCUUUCAAGUGAGNGNCNAACGGGUGAGUAACACGUGGACAACCUGCCUCAAGGCUGGGGAUAACAUUUGGAAACAGAUGCUAAUACCGAAUAAAACUCAGUGUCGCAUGACACAAAGUUAAAAGGCGCUUUGGCGUCACCUAGAGAUGGAUCCGCGGUGCAUUAGUUAGUUGGUGGGGUAAAGGCCUACCAAGACAAUGAUGCAUAGCCGAGUUGAGAGACUGAUCGGCCACAUUGGGACUGAGACACGGCCCAAACUCCUACUGGAGGCUGCAUUAGGGAAUCUUCCACAAUGGGCGAAAGCCUGAUGGACCAACACCACGUGUGUGAUGAAGGAUUUCUGGUCGUAAAGCACUGUUGUAUCGG
This 444-nucleotide ribosomal RNA is filed under the name uncultured bacterium. Its description in RNAcentral is "bacterial SSU rRNA". It matches the Rfam family "Bacterial small subunit ribosomal RNA", at positions 11 to 444 of the family's 1533-position model. The record is from RNAcentral.